RNAcentral lists this ribosomal RNA (28 nucleotides) under Schizothyrium emperorae. RNAcentral describes it as "partial 28S ribosomal RNA". Lineage: Eukaryota; Fungi; Ascomycota; Dothideomycetes; Mycosphaerellales; Schizothyriaceae. The record is from RNAcentral.
GUUGACCUCGGAUCGGUAGGACCCGAUC